UACAGAGGUCUCAAGCGUUGUUCGGAUUCAUUGGGCGUAAAGGGUGCGUAGGCGGCGCGGUAAGUCGGGUGUGAAAUCUCGGAGCUUAACUCCGAAACUGCAUUCGAUACUGCCGUGCUUGAGGACUGGAGAGGAGACUGGAAUUAACGGUGUAGCGGUGAAAUGCGUAGAUAUCGUAAGGAAGACCAGUGGCGAAGGCGGGUCUCUGGACAGUUCCUGACGCUGAGGCACGAAGGUCAGGGGAGCAAACGGG
Molecule: ribosomal RNA, 253 nt
Filed under: uncultured bacterium
Lineage: Bacteria
Description: partial 16S ribosomal RNA
Rfam family: Bacterial small subunit ribosomal RNA
Source: RNAcentral